CCUACGGGUGGCAGCAGUGGGGGAUAUUGCACAAUGGGGGAAACCCUGAUGCAGCGACGCCGCGUGUGGGAAGACGGUCCUCUGGAUUGUAAACCACUGUCCCCAGGGACGAAGAUGACAGUACCUGACCAAGAAGCCCCGGCUAACUACGUGCCAGCAGCCGCGGUAAUACGUAGGGGGCAAGCGUUAUCCGGAUUUACUGGGUGUAAAGGGAGCGUAGACGGUUAUGUAAGUCUGGAGUGAAAGCCCGGGGCCCAACCCCGGGACUGCUUUGGAAACUGUGUAACUGGAGUACAGGAGGGGCAGGCGGAAUUCCUGGUGUAGCGGUGAAAUGCGUAGAUAUCAGGAGGAACACCGGCGGCGAAGGCGGCCUGCUGGACUGAAACUGACGUUGAGGCUCGAAAGCGUGGGGAGCAAACAGGAUUAGAUACCCGAGUAGUC
This 441-nucleotide ribosomal RNA is filed under the name uncultured bacterium. RNAcentral describes it as "partial 16S ribosomal RNA". It matches the Rfam family "Bacterial small subunit ribosomal RNA", at positions 338 to 795 of the family's 1533-position model. The record is from RNAcentral.